RNAcentral lists this ribosomal RNA (550 nucleotides) under uncultured bacterium. RNAcentral's name for it is "bacterial SSU rRNA". It matches the Rfam family "Bacterial small subunit ribosomal RNA", at positions 777 to 1325 of the family's 1533-position model. The record is from RNAcentral.
AAUAGAUACCCGGGUAGUCCACGCCGUAAACGAUGAGUGCUAAGUGUUAGGGGGUUUCCGCCCCUUAGUGCUGCAGCUAACGCAUUAAGCACUCCGCCUGGGGAGUACGGUCGCAAGACUGAAACUCAAAGGAGUUGACGGGGGCCCGCACAAGCGGUGGAGCAUGUGGUUUAAUUCGAAGCAACGCGAAGAACCUUACCAGGUCUUGACAUCCCAUUGACCACUAUGGAGACAUAGUUUUCCCUUCGGGGACAACGGUGACAGGUGGUGCAUGGUUGUCGUCAGCUCGUGUCGUGAGAUGUUGGGUUAAGUCCCGCAACGAGCGCAACCCUUGUUCUUAGUUGCCAUCAUUUAGUUGGGCACUCUAAGGAGACUGCCGGUGACAAACCGGAGGAAGGUGGGGAUGACGUCAAAUCAUCAUGCCCCUUAUGACCUGGGCUACACACGUGCUACAAUGGACGGUACAAACGGUUGCCAACCGCGAGGGGGAGCUAAUCCGAUAAAACCGUUCUCAGUUCGGAUUGCAGGCUGCAACUCGCCUACAUGAACG